GCCCAACACGUUGCCAGCAUGUCCUCCGGGAGUGAUGGGGACACUGUUGGGACCGCCGCUGCUAAAGCGGAGGAAGGAAUGGGCAACGGUAGGUCAGUAUGCCCCGAAUAUCCCGGGCUACACGCGAGCUACAAUGGUUGGUACAAUGGGUAUCUACCCCGAAAGGGGAUGGAAAUCUCCUAAAGCCAAUCUUAGUUCGGAUUGAGGGCUGCAACUCGCCCUCAUGAAGCUGGAAUCCGUAGUAAUCGCGUUUCAACAGAACGCGGUGAAUACGUCCCUGCUCCUU
RNAcentral lists this ribosomal RNA (286 nucleotides) under uncultured Methanosaeta sp. Its description in RNAcentral is "partial 16S ribosomal RNA". It matches the Rfam family "Archaeal small subunit ribosomal RNA", at positions 1055 to 1338 of the family's 1478-position model. The record is from RNAcentral. Lineage: Archaea; Methanobacteriati; Methanobacteriota; Methanomicrobia; Methanotrichales; Methanotrichaceae.